CAUGAAUUAGUAACUACUUCCC
RNAcentral lists this non-coding RNA (22 nucleotides) under Arabidopsis thaliana (thale cress). Lineage: Eukaryota; Viridiplantae; Streptophyta; Magnoliopsida; Brassicales; Brassicaceae. The record is from RNAcentral.